RNAcentral lists this ribosomal RNA (415 nucleotides) under uncultured Rivularia sp. RNAcentral's name for it is "bacterial SSU rRNA". It matches the Rfam family "Bacterial small subunit ribosomal RNA", at positions 356 to 788 of the family's 1533-position model. Lineage: Bacteria; Bacillati; Cyanobacteriota; Cyanophyceae; Nostocales; Rivulariaceae. The record is from RNAcentral.
GGGGAAUUUUCCGCAAUGGGCGAAAGCCUGACGGAGCAACGCCGCGUGAGGGAGGAAGGCUCUUGGGUUGUAAACCUCUUUUAUCAAGGAAGAUAAUGACGGUACUUGAUGAAUCAGCAUCGGCUAACUCCGUGCCAGCAGCCGCGGUAAUACGGAGGAUGCAAGCGUUAUCCGGAAUAAUUGGGCGUAAAGCGUUCGUAGGUGGUUAUGUAAGUCUGCUGUUAAAGCGUGUAGCUUAACUACAUAUAGGCAGUGGAAACUACAUGACUAGAGUGCGUUCGGGGCAGAGGGAAUUCCUGGUGUAGCGGUGAAAUGCGUAGAUAUCAGGAAGAACACCGGUGGCGAAGGCGCUCUGCUAGGCCGCAACUGACACUGAGGGACGAAAGCUAGGGGAGCGAAUGGGAUUAGAUACCCC